UAAAUGCCAAUCUAAAUAGAGGAAUUAAAUAGAAAACACAAAACUGGCGAAUCAGAUAUGGUAACAUUAAACAUCACAAUAAAAUAUAGAGCAUUAAAUUGACGAGACCAACAUGUAUCUAUAUCUAUCUAUAUAUCUUAUCCCUGCGAUUUUGUUUUGCUUCUAUAUAAACAACAACAAAGUUGUUGCCAGUUUAAGUCCCACCAAAUUAAACAGAAGUGGUGCAGAGAUACUAUACAGUUAGCACCACUGUCAUCACGGCACCAUUGAAAAGCAAUAUGUCGAGGCCACUAUACUCGAUAGCUGUUGCUGUUUGCAUAGUUUUUGUGGUUAUGUCGACCAUCCCAUCAUGCUAUGGAGAUGAGGAGACAUUCACCGAUGAAGUACCACACUGCAAGAUUGUAGCAUGCACCAACAAAUGCAGAACCCAUCACCAUCCGAAAUACACUGCGCGGUGUAUUCACAACACCAACCCCGAGCAGUGUUGCUGCAAAAAGGAUGACGCCGGCGUGACAAAAUAAUUUCAUGCAUGUUAUUAAUUUCUCGGCUGCGCAGUGUAUGCGUCUAUAUAUUUCUCUUCGAUGCAGAUAAAAUAAACAAGUAUUUAUUUGCAUUAUUA
This is a long non-coding RNA of Oryza sativa Japonica Group (Japanese rice), 619 nucleotides long. RefSeq lists it as uncharacterized. Lineage: Eukaryota; Viridiplantae; Streptophyta; Magnoliopsida; Poales; Poaceae. The record is from RefSeq and is a predicted model, not a curated record.